ACGCCAUUUUGUUCCUAGUCUCUACCUCUAGUCCAGUAGAUCAAACUUAUAAAUGGGAAUAUGGGAUGAACAACCAAUUAUCAAAACUGUGCUGUUUCAAGAUAAUUGAUCUUAAGUCUCGCAUAUAUCAUCAUAAUUCAGCAGAAGAGAAACCAUGAAUCAAUCAGAUACAAGACAACUGACUGGCAAAUAUAGAGGCAGUUUUUUCCUAGUUCCAUACGCCAAUUUCUCUAGUUAACAAAAACAAAAGUCACAGAAAGCAACAAUGCAGAACAUGAACUAGAAUAAGUACUACAUCGUCAACAAUUCCGAUAUCCAAGUUCCAAUUAGUUCAUCUCUUGUAAUAAACUCUUCAUCUUCACCCUAACUGCUGCAAACAUCGAAAGAAAAGGGAGACGAAUUAUUGAACAUGUAUAAGUAACAGAUAAGUGAGUGAGCAAGAAGACCUAAGGGUCAGAGGUGCACAGUACUUAUAUUUCGCAUUUUUCUGUAUAUAAUAAUGUAAAAUCCUCACUUGCACUUUUGCAAAAAAAAAAAAAAAAAAAGAGAAGAAGAAUGGAAGAACCAUUUUAUUGUUAGAGAUCAGAUCAUUAAAAUGUCAAAAGCAAAAUAACCAAAUGAGCACAGAUCCUCCUGCCAGCCUUAGAUUCAGAAUUGAUACCUUAAGUUUCAAAUUCAUUGUCAAUUAAGGGAUUGCAUCUCAAGAAUAAUUUUGAGUUCAACCCCUUCAACGACAAGACCCCUCUUUUCUUGUGACAAUUCACAGUGGAUGAGAAAAUAAUACAUAAAACAUCACAGAGUAUCAGACACAUCCAAGAUA
RNAcentral lists this long non-coding RNA (820 nucleotides) under Aquilegia coerulea. Its description in RNAcentral is "long non-coding RNA (ACOE_LNC000208)". Lineage: Eukaryota; Viridiplantae; Streptophyta; Magnoliopsida; Ranunculales; Ranunculaceae. The record is from RNAcentral.